UAGAACUACCGGUCAAAGUAACAGAUAAAUUUCGACUUUCGACCUAACCACUUCAUAAAAAAUUCUCCUAUCCAAGUAUCAUUUACUGAUUCAUUGUAAUACAUAUUUCAUGAUAAAAAUUUCUGAGUUAUUUAUUAUAUUUAGGAGAGAAAUUUACACUUAAAUUCGACAUAAUAAUAUAACGGUAAACAUAUAAAAGAAUAUCAUGGUACAAUUGUUCGAUUGUCAUUUAUUACAUUAAUUUAAUUUAAUUUUUAUGAUAUUAAAUGGAUCAAAAAACUAUGAUAUUAGAUAUGGAAAUUUUGUAGAAUCAAUUAUAUCUCAGACAUCGUGAGAAAAAAAAAAUUGUAAGAUUAUUAAUUAUUGGCGUACGAUAUUAAAGUGCUAAAAUGCAAAAGGUGGUGUAAUUUAAGAGAAUUUAAGAGAAUCGUGAACAACUCGUGUCCCAUUUUUCAUAAAAACUAAUAUUUGGAACGAGAGGAAGUUUAAAGUAUCUACGGAAAACGGGGGAAAAAAAAACGGAGACACGUUCUUUAUCGGUGCACGGAGAGACGAGAAUGCAGCAUCAAUUUUGAUUGUCACUGUCAACCGUACAUCUAUACAAAGAAAGACGGCUGGGAACUGUCGCAGCCUCUUUCGAUUACGGAUCACGUCUUGACCGCACCUCGUCCCGAUGAAUCCGACUCGAGAAGCAGACGGACCCGCUGACCAACCUACCGUGAAGGAGCUUGAUUGUCCAUAUUGUCCAAGCGUGCUAAGUUAUGGAGAUUCCUAAUGCUAACCCGGCCGACCCUAAUCCGUCUCGUAGCUCUGUGAGCCGGAAGAUCCAGAUUUUCCAAUGUUCUGAAUCGGCCACGUCGAAGCACGAAUUCAAAGGAGCAGAUACUUUUUGACAAGUAUGAGAUAUUAUUUCUUUUUUUUUUUUUUUUUUUUUUUUACGAAUAAAAAAGGAUAUCGUGUAAGAUGAUGACAGGAGAUGAAGAUGCAGUCGCGUCUUUACCUUACGAAGAACAAUGGUUUCGAUCGAGAUGAGAAGGGAAGAGGGAGGAUGGACGACCGUGGUUGACAACCCUUUAUCAAGUACGACGGCUCGUUUAGGUACAGCAGAAGCUAAAUGGACGAGCGGCUCGGAUGAACGGUAGAGGGGCACGCAAUAAAGGGGUAGUGUCGCGAGAUAAUUGGAAGCUACGGCUGUCCUAGAUGGACGUAAAGGCGAGGAAGAGAUUCUAAUGCAGAGCUCGCCCGUGUCUGCCGACUUGCACGUCCACGAUUGCACCUAUUGUUAUUGGCUUUGGAAUUUACGACUUUACUAUAAGAAACUUUUCUAUGAGAUCAGUUUAAACUUUAGUAUUCUGUUAAAUAUUAUAUAAUGAAUAAUAGACACCGUUACGAACAAUAGUAACAUAUUGAAAUAGAAUUAGAAUAGAUUCAUCGAUUAAUCUCGUUACAGAUAGAAUAUAUAUAUAUACACAUGUACACACACACAUAUAUAUAUAUAUAUAUAUA
This is a long non-coding RNA of Vespa crabro (European hornet), 1506 nucleotides long. RefSeq lists it as uncharacterized. The record is from RefSeq and is a predicted model, not a curated record. Lineage: Eukaryota; Metazoa; Arthropoda; Insecta; Hymenoptera; Vespidae. The transcript has 3 exons.